This 68-nucleotide transfer RNA is filed under the name Megalophasma granulatum. RNAcentral describes it as "tRNA-Ser". Lineage: Eukaryota; Metazoa; Arthropoda; Insecta; Phasmatodea; Lonchodidae. The record is from RNAcentral.
GAAAUAAGUUGAAACAAAUAAUAGCUGCUAACUAAUUAUUUAUGCGGUUUAAAUCCGUUAAUAUUUCU